RNAcentral lists this ribosomal RNA (390 nucleotides) under uncultured Alphaproteobacteria bacterium. Its description in RNAcentral is "bacterial SSU rRNA". It matches the Rfam family "Bacterial small subunit ribosomal RNA", at positions 9 to 429 of the family's 1533-position model. Lineage: Bacteria; Pseudomonadati; Pseudomonadota; Alphaproteobacteria. The record is from RNAcentral.
GAGUUUGAUCGUGGCUCAGAACGAACGCUGGCGGCAGGCUUAACACAUGCAAGUCGAACGCCCCGCAAGGGGAGUGGCGCACGGGUGAGUAACGCGUGGAUAUCUGCCUUUUGGUUCGGAAUAACCCCGGGAAACUGGGGCUAAUACCGGAUGGUUUCCUACGGGAUAAAGAUUUAUCGCCAAAAGAUGAGUCCGCGUACGAUUAGCUAGUUGGUGAGGUAAUGGCUCACCAAGGCGACGAUCGUUAGCUGGUCUGAGAGGACGAUCAGCCACACUGGGACUGAGACACGGCCCAGACUCCUACGGGAGGCAGCAGUGGGGAAUAUUGGACAAUGGGGGCAACCCUGAUCCAGCCAUGCCGCGUGAGUGAUGAAGGCCUUCGGUUGUAAG